Molecule: non-coding RNA, 68 nt
Filed under: Heyndrickxia coagulans DSM 1 = ATCC 7050
Lineage: Bacteria; Bacillati; Bacillota; Bacilli; Caryophanales; Bacillaceae
Description: Bacillus coagulans DSM 1 = ATCC 7050 GEMM cis-regulatory element
Rfam family: c-di-GMP-I riboswitch aptamer
About the family: GEMM was predicted in a large-scale screen for bacterial structured RNA regulatory elements.
Source: RNAcentral
AUAUCAAAGGGGCAAAUCCAUUGAAAAAUGGAGACGCAAAACUACAGGGGGCUUAAACAGUUUUUAAU